CCCAGUUGUAGGUCUAUAGUAACAUGGUUCGUGGUUGAAUUAAAUUUGUUUUCCUCCAUCUUGAAAGUUCAACUUCUUUGCUAUAACAAAGAUGGCGUCCUGUGUACCGUUGCUGGGUGGUACAGUUGAGUUAGCUUUACAAGCUGCAUCGAAUAAGUGAAUAAGGAACGUGCGCAGAGCGCGAUCAUCUCAGCCCCCCCCCCCUCCGCCCCCCUCCCGUACAGCAGAUUUACGAUAACUGAA
Molecule: long non-coding RNA, 243 nt
Organism: Eufriesea mexicana
Lineage: Eukaryota; Metazoa; Arthropoda; Insecta; Hymenoptera; Apidae
Exons: 3
Source: RefSeq, a predicted model, not a curated record